UGCCAGCAGCCGCGGUAACAAGGGGGGCGCAAGCGUUAUUCGGAAUUAGUGGGCGUAAAGGGCACGCAGGCGGCUAGGCAAGUUGGUGGUGAAAGCCCUCGGCUCAACCGAGGAAUUGCCCCCAAAACUGCCUGGCUUGAGUCCCGGAGAGGGUGACGGAAUUCCCAGUGUAGCGGUGAAAUGCGUAGAUACUGGGAGGAACACCAGUGGCGAAGGCGGUCACCUGGACGGGUACUGACGCUCAUGUGCGAAAGCGUGGGGAGCAAACAGGAUUAGAUA
Molecule: ribosomal RNA, 279 nt
Filed under: uncultured bacterium
Lineage: Bacteria
Description: partial 16S ribosomal RNA
Rfam family: Bacterial small subunit ribosomal RNA
Source: RNAcentral